Molecule: ribosomal RNA, 346 nt
Filed under: uncultured eukaryote
Lineage: Eukaryota
Description: SSU rRNA
Rfam family: Eukaryotic small subunit ribosomal RNA
Source: RNAcentral
AUAGCGUAUAUUUAAGUUGUUGCAGUUAAAAAGCUCGUAGUUGGAUUUCGGGUGGGUCCUGACUGUCCGCCUUUUGGUGAGCACGGUCAUGGACCUACCUUGCUGUCGGGGACGGGCUCCUGGGCUUCAUUGUCCGGGACUCGGAGUCGACGAGGUUACUUUGAGUAAAUUAGAGUGUUCAAAGCAGGCCUACGCUCUGAAUACAUUAGCAUGGAAUAACACGAUAGGACUCUGGCCUAUCUUGUUGGUCUGUGGGACCGGAGUAAUGAUUAAGAGGGUCAGUCGGGGGCAUUCGUAUUUCAUUGUCAGAGGUGAAAUUCUUGGAUUGACUGAAGACUAACUACUG